AGCGAACGCUGGCGGCAGGCCUAACACAUGCAAGUCGAACGAACCUUUCGGGGUUAGUGGCGGACGGGUGAGUAACACGUGGGAACGUGCCUUUAGGUUCGGAAUAACUCAGGGAAACUUGUGCUAAUACCGAAUGUGCCCUUCGGGGGAAAGAUUUAUCGCCUUUAGAGCGGCCCGCGUCUGAUUAGCUAGUUGGUUGAGGUAAUGGCUCACUAAGGCGACGAUCAGUAGCUGGUCUGAGAGGAUGAUCAGCCACAUUGGGACUGAGACACGGCCCAAACUCCUACGGGAGGCAGCAGUGGGGAAUCUUGCGCAAUGGGCGAAAGCCUGACGCAGCCAUGCCGCGUGAAUGAUGAAGGUCUUAGGAUUGUAAAAUUCUUUCACCGGGGACGAUAAUGACGGUACCCGGAGAAGAAGCCCCGGCUAACUUCGU
Molecule: ribosomal RNA, 433 nt
Filed under: uncultured bacterium
Lineage: Bacteria
Description: partial 16S ribosomal RNA
Rfam family: Bacterial small subunit ribosomal RNA
Source: RNAcentral